Molecule: ribosomal RNA, 253 nt
Filed under: uncultured bacterium
Lineage: Bacteria
Description: partial 16S ribosomal RNA
Rfam family: Bacterial small subunit ribosomal RNA
Source: RNAcentral
UACAGAGGUCCCAAGCGUUGUUCGGAUUCACUGGGCGUAAAGGGUGCGUAGGUGGCUUGGUAAGUUUGAUGUGAAAGCUCAGGGCUCAACCCUGAAAUGGCAUUGAAUACUACUGAGCUGGAGGUUUGGAGGGGGGACUGGAAUUCUCGGUGUAGCAGUGAAAUGCGUAGAUAUCGAGAGGAACACCAGUGGCGAAGGCGAGUCCCUGGACAACACCUGACACUGAGGCACGAAAGCUAGGGGAGCAAACAGG